This 215-nucleotide ribosomal RNA is filed under the name uncultured bacterium. Its description in RNAcentral is "partial 16S ribosomal RNA". It matches the Rfam family "Bacterial small subunit ribosomal RNA", at positions 1286 to 1500 of the family's 1533-position model. The record is from RNAcentral.
UCCCAGUUCGGAUUGUAGUCUGCAACCCGACUACAUGAAGCUGGAAUCGCUAGUAAUCGCGAAUCAGCAUGUCGCGGUGAAUACGUUCCCGGGUCUUGUACACACCGCCCGUCACACCAUGGGAGUUGGUAACGCCCGAAGUCAGUGACCUAACCGCAAGGGAGGAGCUGCCGAAGGUGGGGCCAGUAACUGGGGUGAAGUCGUAACAAGGUACC